RNAcentral lists this ribosomal RNA (1195 nucleotides) under uncultured bacterium. Its description in RNAcentral is "bacterial SSU rRNA". It matches the Rfam family "Bacterial small subunit ribosomal RNA", at positions 28 to 1195 of the family's 1533-position model. The record is from RNAcentral.
GACGAACGCUGGCGGCGUGCCUAAUACAUGCAAGUCGAACGCUUCUUUUUCCACCGGAGCUUGCUCCACCGGAAAAAGAGGAGUGGCGAACGGGUGAGUAACACGUGGGUAACCUGCCCAUCAGAAGGGGAUAACACUUGGAAACAGGUGCUAAUACCGUAUAACAAUCAAAACCGCAUGGUUUUGAUUUGAAAGGCGCUUUCGGGUGUCGCUGAUGGAUGGACCCGCGGUGCAUUAGCUAGUUGGUGAGGUAACGGCUCACCAAGGCCACGAUGCAUAGCCGACCUGAGAGGGUGAUCGGCCACAUUGGGACUGAGACACGGCCCAAACUCCUACGGGAGGCAGCAGUAGGGAAUCUUCGGCAAUGGACGAAAGUCUGACCGAGCAACGCCGCGUGAGUGAAGAAGGUUUUCGGAUCGUAAAACUCUGUUGUUAGAGAAGAACAAGGAUGAGAGUAACUGUUCAUCCCUUGACGGUAUCUAACCAGAAAGCCACGGCUAACUACGUGCCAGCAGCCGCGGUAAUACGUAGGUGGCAAGCGUUGUCCGGAUUUAUUGGGCGUAAAGCGAGCGCAGGCGGUUUCUUAAGUCUGAUGUGAAAGCCCCCGGCUCAACCGGGGAGGGUCAUUGGAAACUGGGAGACUUGAGUGCAGAAGAGGAGAGUGGAAUUCCAUGUGUAGCGGUGAAAUGCGUAGAUAUAUGGAGGAACACCAGUGGCGAAGGCGGCUCUCUGGUCUGUAACUGACGCUGAGGCUCGAAAGCGUGGGGAGCAAACAGGAUUAGAUACCCUGGUAGUCCACGCCGUAAACGAUGAGUGCUAAGUGUUGGAGGGUUUCCGCCCUUCAGUGCUGCAGCUAACGCAUUAAGCACUCCGCCUGGGGAGUACGACCGCAAGGUUGAAACUCAAAGGAAUUGACGGGGGCCCGCACAAGCGGUGGAGCAUGUGGUUUAAUUCGAAGCAACGCGAAGAACCUUACCAGGUCUUGACAUCCUUUGACCACUCUAGAGAUAGAGCUUCCCCUUCGGGGGCAAAGUGACAGGUGGUGCAUGGUUGUCGUCAGCUCGUGUCGUGAGAUGUUGGGUUAAGUCCCGCAACGAGCGCAACCCUUAUUGUUAGUUGCCAUCAUUCAGUUGGGCACUCUAGCAAGACUGCCGGUGACAAACCGGAGGAAGGUGGGGAUGACGUCAAAUCAUCA